This 290-nucleotide ribosomal RNA is filed under the name uncultured bacterium. RNAcentral's name for it is "partial 16S ribosomal RNA". It matches the Rfam family "Bacterial small subunit ribosomal RNA", at positions 29 to 314 of the family's 1533-position model. The record is from RNAcentral.
AACAAACGCUGGCGGCGUGCCUAAUACAUGCAAGUCGAACGAGGAAGUAUCUUCGGAUAUUGUACUAGUGGCGUACGGGUGAGUAACGCGUGGAUAAUCUUCCUCUAAGUGGGGAAUAACCAGUCGAAGAUUGGCUAAUACCGCAUAAGACCACAAGCUGUUCGCAGCAAGGGGUUAAAGGGACGAAAGACCGCUUGGAGAUGAGUCUGCGCCUGAUUAGCUAGUUGGUGAGGUAACGGCUCACCAAGGCGACGAUCAGUAGCUGGUCUGAGAGGACGGCCAGCCACACU